GGCGGUUCUCGGGUGACGCACCCCAGAAUCGGGCUCCCCCCUCUCUGGUUCCCAGAGUGUCACCCGAGAACCACU
Myotis brandtii (Brandt's bat) is the source of this 75-nucleotide non-coding RNA. The record is from Rfam. Lineage: Eukaryota; Metazoa; Chordata; Mammalia; Chiroptera; Vespertilionidae.